This 660-nucleotide long non-coding RNA is filed under the name Pan troglodytes (chimpanzee). RNAcentral's name for it is "long non-coding RNA NONPTRT003204". Lineage: Eukaryota; Metazoa; Chordata; Mammalia; Primates; Hominidae. The record is from RNAcentral.
GUGACAUGUUGUCCUGUUUUCCAUCUCAGGAAUUCCCGCUCAUAUUGACACACAUUCCGCUUUUGAGGAUGAGAUCGUUUCUCUCAGUUUGGGGUCAGAGAUUGUCAUGGAUUUUAAGCACCCAGAUGGCAUUGCAGUGCCAGUUAUGUUGCCUCGUCGGAGUUUGCUGGUGAUGACAGGAGAAUCUAGAUACCUUUGGACCCAUGGAAUCACAUGCAGAAAAUUUGAUACUGUUCAAGCAUCUGAGAGUCUUAAAAGUGGAAUUAUCACCAGUGAUGUUGGAGACUUAACUUUAAGCAAGAGGGGACUACGAACAUCAUUUACAUUUAGGAAAGUGAGGCAAACACCUUGUAACUGUAGCACUUUGAUUCCAUGUCUUGGCUGUUGUGAAUAGUGUUGCAGUAAACAUGUUACCCGUUGGUCUGUGAUAGCCAGAGGAAAGAGACUCCCCCCUCAUUUCCAGAGAGUGAUAAAGAAGCCUCACGGCUGGAGCAAGAGUACGUCCAUCAAGUUUAUGAAGAGAUUGCUGGGCACUUCAGCAGCACAAGACAUACCCCUUGGCCGCACAUUGUGGAGUUUUUGAAGGCUUUGCCAAGUGGUUCAAUAGUGGCUGAUAUUGGAUGUGGUAAUGGAAAGUAUCUUGGCAUCAAUAAGGAGUUA